AUGAAACACUUGCAAGCUCUGAAUUUUCUACACCCAGCAUGCAUUACCAUCUUGUCCCUGAGGUUGGUCUGGCCGUUGGUGAGCGCCUCCUCGAUGGCGAUCAGCUCCUUGGGCUGCAGGGAGUUCACAUCCUCGCCUUUCAUAUGCCUGCACUGUCAUCAGCCGCCGCAGUCGAGUCAUACUCACACAAACAUUGAAGAGCUGCAGAUAGAAUUGGAAAGAGAGAGAAAAUCGAAGCUGGAAGCUGGAUGGAACAACACUUGCCUGAGCUCGAUCUGCAUGUUGUCGUUCUCCUUCUUCACCCUGUCGAUCUCGGCGCUGAUGCUCUGGAAAAGAAACAUUUCCAGGGUUUUCAGACUCUGA
Molecule: ribosomal RNA, 363 nt
Filed under: Triticum aestivum (bread wheat)
Lineage: Eukaryota; Viridiplantae; Streptophyta; Magnoliopsida; Poales; Poaceae
Description: partial small subunit ribosomal RNA
Source: RNAcentral